Molecule: ribosomal RNA, 482 nt
Filed under: uncultured bacterium
Lineage: Bacteria
Description: partial 16S ribosomal RNA
Rfam family: Bacterial small subunit ribosomal RNA
Source: RNAcentral
AUUGAACGCUGGCGGCAUGCCUUACACAUGCAAGUCGAACGGUAACGGGCCUUCGGGUGCCGACGAGCGGCGAACGGGUGAGUAAUACAUCGGAACGUGCCCGAUCGUGGGGGAUAACGAGGCGAAAGCUUUGCUAAUACCGCAUACGAUCUACGGAUGAAAGCAGGGGACCGCAAGGCCUUGCGCGGACGGAGCGGCCGAUGGCAGAUUAGGUAGUUGGUGGGAUAAAAGCUUACCAAGCCGACGAUCUGUAGCUGGUCUGAGAGGAUGAUCAGCCACACUGGGACUGAGACACGGCCCAGACUCCUACGGGAGGCAGCAGUGGGGAAUUUUGGACAAAGGGCGCAAGCCUGAUCCAGCCAUGCCGCGUGCAGGAUGAAGGCCUUCGGGUUGUAAACUGCUUUUGUACGGAACGAAAAGCCUUCUUUUAAUACAGGAGGGUCAUGACGGUACCGUAAGAAUAAGCACCGGCUAACUACGUG